This 236-nucleotide ribosomal RNA is filed under the name uncultured bacterium. Its description in RNAcentral is "partial 16S ribosomal RNA". It matches the Rfam family "Bacterial small subunit ribosomal RNA", at positions 100 to 334 of the family's 1533-position model. The record is from RNAcentral.
CGGGACGGGUGAGUAACGCGUGGGUAACCUACCCUGUACACACGGAUAACAUACCGAAAGGUAUGCUAAUACGGGAUAAUAUAUUUGAGAGGCAUCUCUUGAAUAUCAAAGGUGAGCCAGUACAGGAUGGACCCGCGUCUGAUUAGCUAGUUGGUAAGGUAACGGCUUACCAAGGCGACGAUCAGUAGCCGACCUGAGAGGGUGAUCGGCCACAUUGGAACUGAGACACAGUCCAA